RNAcentral lists this ribosomal RNA (468 nucleotides) under uncultured bacterium. Its description in RNAcentral is "partial 16S ribosomal RNA". It matches the Rfam family "Bacterial small subunit ribosomal RNA", at positions 28 to 507 of the family's 1533-position model. The record is from RNAcentral.
GACGAACGCUGGCGGCGUGCUUAACACAUGCAAGUCGAACGGAAAGGCCCUGCUUUUGUGGGGUGCUCGAGUGGCGAACGGGUGAGUAACACGUGAGUAACCUGCCCUUGACUUUGGGAUAACUUCAGGAAACUGGGGCUAAUACCGGAUAGGAGCUCAUGCUGCAUGGUGGGGGUUGGAAAGUUUCGGCGGUUGGGGAUGGACUCGCGGCUUAUCAGCUUGUUGGUGGGGUAGUGGCUUACCAAGGCUUUGACGGGUAGCCGGCCUGGGAGGGUGACCGGCCACAUUGGGACUGAGAUACGGCCCAGACUCCUACGGGAGGCAGCAGUGGGGAAUAUUGCACAAUGGGCGGAAGCCUGAUGCAGCAACGCCGCGUGCGGGAUGACGGCCUUCGGGUUGUAAACCGCUUUCGCCUGUGACGAAGCGUGAGUGACGGUAAUGGGUAAAGAAGCACCGGCUAACUACGUG